CCCGAUCCUGUCCCGAUCCCCUCCCUCAGCCCGGCCCCGAGCCCGGCCCGAUCCCCUCCCUCAGUCCGGCCCGAUCCCUUGUCUCAGCCCGGCCCCGAUCCCAGUUCCGAUCCCCAUCCCGAUCCCAGUGCCGAUCCCAUCCCCACCCCGAUCCCGUCCCGAUUCCAUCCCGCCCCGAUCCCAGUGCCGAUCCCAUCCCCACCCCGAUCCCGUCCCGAUGUAGCCCCGCUGCCCGCGUGGCUGAGGCAGCAGCUAUGGGAGUUACACCUCUGCUAGCCAGACCUUCCUCCAGGCUUGGCAAUCUGUCUGCUGCAGGGAUGCCCAGGCUGGGUUUGAGGAGGCACCAGCCCGUCAGAUGAAGCUCAGGAGCUCUGAGGAGCAGCAGCAUCACCUGUUUGACCUUUUCCAGGGAUAUCUACCGAGAUCUUCACUCACACCUUCAACUUCUCCAGGAGCAGCU
This is a long non-coding RNA of Camarhynchus parvulus, 460 nucleotides long. RefSeq lists it as uncharacterized. The transcript has 3 exons. NCBI's taxonomy places the organism in Eukaryota, Metazoa, Chordata, Aves, Passeriformes, Thraupidae. The record is from RefSeq and is a predicted model, not a curated record.